CCUACGGGUGGCAGCAGUGAGGAAUAUUGGUCAAUGGGCGAGAGCCUGAACCAGCCAAGUAGCGUGAAGGAUGACGGCCCUAUGGGUUGUAAACUGCUUUUAUACGGGAAUAACGCGCCUUACGUGUGGGGCUUUGCAUGUACCGUAUGAAUAAGGACCGGCUAAUUCCGUGCCAGCAGCCGCGGUAAUACGGAGGAUCCGGGCGUUAUCCGGAUUUAUUGGGUUUAAAGGGAGCGUAGGCUGCAUGUCAAGCGAGCUGUGAAAGAUCCGGGCUCAACCCGGGCCUUGCAGCGCGAACUGGCGGGCUUGAGUGCGCGGGAGGCAGGCGGAAUUCGUGGUGUAGCGGUGAAAUGCUUAGAUAUGACGAAGAACCCCGAUUGCGAAGGCAGCUUGCUGCAGCGGAACUGACGCUGAGGCUCGAAAGCGCGGGUAUCGAACAGGAUUAGAUACCCGAGUAGUC
RNAcentral lists this ribosomal RNA (460 nucleotides) under uncultured bacterium. RNAcentral describes it as "partial 16S ribosomal RNA". It matches the Rfam family "Bacterial small subunit ribosomal RNA", at positions 338 to 795 of the family's 1533-position model. The record is from RNAcentral.